Molecule: long non-coding RNA, 1005 nt
Organism: Siniperca chuatsi (mandarin fish)
Lineage: Eukaryota; Metazoa; Chordata; Actinopteri; Centrarchiformes; Sinipercidae
Exons: 2
Source: RefSeq, a predicted model, not a curated record
AUAUGAUUUGAUACAACCCCAAUUUACUCCUCCCAAGUGUGUCAGGAUGUACUUAGACAAGUUGUCAAUAUGACCUGUGCCACCUGGACAAGUUUCCUGUUCAUUUUUUGUGCUUGAAUAAAGUUAUUCUGACUGACAGGAGCCUGUUGCCAAGACAACCACGGUAAAAAGAGAGAGGAAAAAAAAGCAUACUGAGACCUCCUUCAUCUCUCAAAGAGAAAAAGAUAAGCUUUUACUCAGUUGAGCCUAUUCCAUUUUGUAUUUCAUUUCUGCGGCAUGGAAAUAGGUGGAAGCAGUCAUUUUCAUUUCAGAUAAUUGGAUUCCCUGGAAAUGGAUUUUCUGCUAAAACUCUGCUUAAAAAUUAAAAAAAAUGUGAGAGAAUUUUGUUUGCUAUUUAAUUUGUUCUAAAGUGAUAACAAUGACAAGGCAUUGACGUCACUCAGUAAGUCGUACACUAAGAUAUUAAACUGAACACUUGUUCAAUAGGUUGACGUCAGCAUAUGUCAACUUACUCUGACUUUACACUGAUGUUAUGAUUCUAACAGACUCUGAUUGAAUGAUUGACCGUCUUCUAAUUAGACUAUUGGAGGUGUCAUGGCUCCAGCUGUGACUCCGGGUUUUCCUUGCGUUCCCCUGUGUUUUUCCCUGUCUCCUCCUCCCCUGUUUGUAUGUGUGUGUAUGUAUGUUUUGUGGACGCAGCUACCUCUCCUGGCACCUGGUUCAGCCUCACACCUGGCUCCAAUCUACUCAUCAACUCUCAGCUCAAUUACCUCAGCUCUGUGAGCCACUCAUUGCCAGAUUGUUCCGUCCUACUCAGAGGACUGUGCCGACGUCUUCGCCCUGCCAUCAUCCACACGACGCCUCAGCUCAAUCUCCAACCUCACCAGCCUGUCUUCAUCAGCCCUGCUAAACCACUUCAUCUUACCAUCAUUGUUCGUUAAACCUUUUACUUAACUGCACCCUCUGUGUCUGCUCCUGGGUCUGCCAAAACAAAACGCAACAGGA